GAGUACUAACGUUUCUUUGUAUCGUGAAAAUUCUUCAACAUAUCUGAUACUGAGUAGAAGAAAGAAACCAUAGUAAUUUCUGACAUCUGCCUGAAUCAAGAAAUGAAACAGAAGAUGCUGAAAGUUAUCCAGCUACUCUCAAGUACUGAAAAGCUGCCAUGACUUCUUCCUGGAGCCUCUCUUCUCCAAGGUGAUUAAGCCCAGCUGUUCCAUCAUUUCUCCAUAGAAGAGUUGCUCCCUCUCUUUUCAUGGCCCUCCUCUGAGCCCACUCCAACAGCUCUACAUCCUUCUUAUACUAGGGCCUCAGGGCUGAACACAGAACUCCAGAUGGGGCCUCACAAGGGUGUACCAGAGAGGACAAUCCCUCCCCCUUUUUGCUGGCCACCCCUCUUUUGAUGCAGCCCUGGUUACCACUGGUCUUUUGGUUAACAUAAUUUCUGUGUCAGCAAUAAUGUUGUGAGUGCAGUUGUGUGCUGUUCUCAAGCUUAUCUUCUCUCCUAUAUAUUCCUUUGCCUGUUAUUGCGGAAGCACAUUUCUAAUAAAGAACUAUUCCUAAAAUUUUUAUUGGGUUACCGGGGGUUGAGAGAAAUCAGAGUAAGUGGAAGUGCUUAAUAAUUCUGUGGAGCCAAGAGCUGCCCCAGUUUCACUUUUCAUUCUGCAGUAAUGGUUUCCAGAGGAAAUUCUGAAAAACGCUUUCAGACGAGAUAAAACAUAUGCAGAAUUUCCAUAAGUUGCUUCAGGAACCUUGCUACUGUCAUAUACUAAAUAUUACAGAUUACCUUUAUGCACUAGCUACUAUGCGCUCCCCAGCUGAGGAGUAAUGAUUUAAAUGAAGAUAAACUCUGGUAUAACUUCAAGUACAGCCAGUAAGAGUGUGGGCUAUGGGAGAAAUCUGCAAUUUAAAGAACAAAACAAAAGAAAAUACAACAAAAAUCUCGCGUUAGAAAUGUUUUAAACUGGGGACAUUCUAAAAGAAAAAUGAGUUUUCUGUACAAGUACCUAUCUUGAUAUUUUAGUAUAUAGAGAAGUAUCAGUAAAAAAUGUUAUUGCCAUCUUACUCACAUGGCAUUUAAUUGCAGAUUUUUUUUAUUUUGUCAUAUUGUUAGUUAAAUAUUGAUUGGUUCAAAGAUGAACUAAAACACUGGUACUUUCUUUCCCAAUUAGGAUAACUUCUCUGCAUGCCAACAGAUAUGACUCUAGCUAAAAUAACUGUACAAGUGGAGAUGUAAAAAAGUCUUACAUAAUACAUCAUACUGCACCUCAAUAAUGAUUUAUAAGUUAGAAGUAGUAGAGUAGCUGUACUGUUUCAUAUCUCUGCCCACAUUUUUUCCUAUUGGGAAUGAAGUGAGAGAGCUUGAUAGCUUAUAUUUAUUUUAGAGUUCUGUUUUCCAGUUUGCCAUGAGUAAGUUGUCUUAUAACAGUGAAAAAAUGUCCAGUUACAGAUUCCUCACUGCCAACAGCAAUGUUGUUGGGGUUAAAGAUUCUCAUGUUCUGACUGAGAAGCUGCAUGCUAUCUGUGGCACAUUAAAUUGUUUCGCAAUUGAGAAAUAUUCAUAAUUAAUAUUUGGUAUAUGUGCUCCAUGGAUGAAGAAGAUAUUCUUAUUUUCAUAACUUUUUCACAAUUUUUAAUUAACAUUAAUUUGAUGAUCUGGUUUUCUAUGUCUUACUGCUGUAAGAGAUAUCAUCUUGAUUUCUGCUGACUGUUCUCCAAUUAGUGAGUUAAUGUGCAACUUUUCUCCCUCAUCUAAAAGUUAAAUUUCUACUCAGAAAAUAUUUACUCUUCCUUCAGCUUUCAUCUUAAUGCCACAGUGUCAUUCUCCAGCAGUCAAAAUAAAUGACAUCUUUUAAAGUA
Tympanuchus pallidicinctus (lesser prairie-chicken) is the source of this 1852-nucleotide long non-coding RNA. RefSeq lists it as uncharacterized. The record is from RefSeq and is a predicted model, not a curated record. The transcript has 3 exons. NCBI's taxonomy places the organism in Eukaryota, Metazoa, Chordata, Aves, Galliformes, Phasianidae.